This 253-nucleotide ribosomal RNA is filed under the name uncultured bacterium. Its description in RNAcentral is "partial 16S ribosomal RNA". It matches the Rfam family "Bacterial small subunit ribosomal RNA", at positions 524 to 776 of the family's 1533-position model. The record is from RNAcentral.
UACGUAGGGUGCGAGCGUUAAUCGGAAUUACUGGGCGUAAAGCGUGCGCAGGCGGUUUUGUAAGCCAGAUGUGAAAUCCCCGGGCUUAACCUGGGAAUGGCAUUUGGGACUGCAAGGCUGGAGUGCGGCAGAGGAGACUGGAAUUCCUGGUGUAGCAGUGAAAUGCGUAGAUAUCAGGAGGAAUACCGAUGGCGAAGGCGGCUACCUGGACAGAAACUGACGCUGAGGCGCGAAAGCUAGGGGAGCAAACAGG